GUGUGGCGAGAAGUCGUCAAGGUGCUGCGUUAUGGUGCAUGUGUUUAGGGUUUGAUAUUUUAAUGCAUUUAACUUGUAUAUAUUAUUUAAUGUAUGUCAUGUGUAAGGGAAAGUCUCAAACCUGUCUUUGAGGAUGCUACAUGAAACCAGUCGUGGAAUUCAUUUGAGUAGAACGUGCCUGGCUGCUUCAUUGCCUACGGCUCAAGACUAACCAGUGAGGAUAAACUAGUUCCGCAUUUUCCUCGUCGGUUCCAUCUGGGCUAAUCUUUUUCUACAAUGGAAAUUAAUAAAAUGCUGUUAACUC
Long non-coding RNA from Procambarus clarkii (red swamp crayfish), 304 nucleotides. RefSeq lists it as uncharacterized. The record is from RefSeq and is a predicted model, not a curated record. NCBI's taxonomy places the organism in Eukaryota, Metazoa, Arthropoda, Malacostraca, Decapoda, Cambaridae.